AGAGUUUGAUCAUGGCUCAGAAUCAACGCUGGCGGCGUGCCUCAGACAUGCAAGUCGAACGCGAAAGUUCCUUCGGGGAUGAGUAGAGUGGCGCACGGGUGAGUAACACGUAGGUAAUCUACCUCUAAGUGGGGAAUAACUUAUGGAAACGUAAGCUAAUACCGCAUAAACGUAAAGCAGCAAUGUGCUUAGAGAGGAGCCUGCGGCGGAUUAGCUAGUUGGUAAGGUAACGGCUUACCAAGGCAACGAUCUGUAGCCGGCCUGAGAGGGCGGUCGGCCACACUGACACUGAAUAACGGGUCAGACUCCUACGGGAGGCAGCAGUCGGGAAUUUUGGGCAAUGGGGGCAACCCUGACCCAGCAACGCCGCGUGAAGGAUGAAGUCCUUCGGGAUGUAAACUUUGAAAGAAUGGGAAGAAGAGAUGACGGUACCAUUUAUAAGCCCCGGCUAACUCCGUGCCAGCAGCCGCGGUAAUAC
RNAcentral lists this ribosomal RNA (478 nucleotides) under uncultured bacterium. RNAcentral's name for it is "bacterial SSU rRNA". It matches the Rfam family "Bacterial small subunit ribosomal RNA", at positions 8 to 526 of the family's 1533-position model. The record is from RNAcentral.